RNAcentral lists this ribosomal RNA (785 nucleotides) under Escherichia coli. Its description in RNAcentral is "partial 23S ribosomal RNA". It matches the Rfam family "Bacterial large subunit ribosomal RNA", at positions 344 to 1132 of the family's 2925-position model. Lineage: Bacteria; Pseudomonadati; Pseudomonadota; Gammaproteobacteria; Enterobacterales; Enterobacteriaceae. The record is from RNAcentral.
GGAAAGGCGCGCGAUACAGGGUGACAGCCCCGUACACAAAAAUGCACAUGCUGUGAGCUCGAUGAGUAGGGCGGGACACGUGGUAUCCUGUCUGAAUAUGGGGGGACCAUCCUCCAAGGCUAAAUACUCCUGACUGACCGAUAGUGAACCAGUACCGUGAGGGAAAGGCGAAAAGAACCCCGGCGAGGGGAGUGAAAAAGAACCUGAAACCGUGUACGUACAAGCAGUGGGAGCACGCUUAGGCGUGUGACUGCGUACCUUUUGUAUAAUGGGUCAGCGACUUAUAUUCUGUAGCAAGGUUAACCGAAUAGGGGAGCCGAAGGGAAACCGAGUCUUAACUGGGCGUUAAGUUGCAGGGUAUAGACCCGAAACCCGGUGAUCUAGCCAUGGGCAGGUUGAAGGUUGGGUAACACUAACUGGAGGACCGAACCGACUAAUGUUGAAAAAUUAGCGGAUGACUUGUGGCUGGGGGUGAAAGGCCAAUCAAACCGGGAGAUAGCUGGUUCUCCCCGAAAGCUAUUUAGGUAGCGCCUCGUGAAUUCAUCUCCGGGGGUAGAGCACUGUUUCGGCAAGGGGGUCAUCCCGACUUACCAACCCGAUGCAAACUGCGAAUACCGGAGAAUGUUAUCACGGGAGACACACGGCGGGUGCUAACGUCCGUCGUGAAGAGGGAAACAACCCAGACCGCCAGCUAAGGUCCCAAAGUCAUGGUUAAGUGGGAAACGAUGUGGGAAGGCCCAGACAGCCAGGAUGUUGGCUUAGAAGCAGCCAUCAUUUAAAGAAAG